CACUAAAUAUGUAUAUGCUGACAAAGAUAGUGAAGAUAACCAUGAUCCAUCUGCAAAGUAUAGUCUGGAUCCACAUACUUGGGAACAAUUUGCAAAGAGCCAACAAAAGCCUAAUUGGCAAGUUUGACGUAACUUGUUUUUACAUAAAAUUUGAUUUAGGUAAAGUUUGUUAAACUAAUUAUUUCACGGAUACUGUUUUUACAUCAUGACAGGGAAUAAGGAAAAAAGCUCAGGAGAUUCAAAAAUUCAAUGAUUGCCCCCACUUAUUGUCUCGUGGGGGAUACGAUCUGUUGGGAAAAAAAAUUGAAGGACAAGAAAAGGAAGACAAAACUCCAUGAUGCUGAGUUUACUGAAAAUUCAGCUAUGAUCGAAGACCCUCCAUCCCCGAUUGCAAGACAUGUCAAGUGGAAGAUGGCUCGAACAAAGCGAUAUGGCCAGAUGACAUCUACAGCGGCACAAGAGAUCUCUGACAAAAUUGAUGAUUUACAGGAACAAACGACACAAGGCAGUUUUGUGCCAGAUGGUCGUCAGGACAUAUUGAAUACUGUGCUUGGCCGACCAGAGCAUCUUGGUUGUGUUCGUGUAGUUGGACAUGGUGUCACCAUCGGCCAUUACUUUGUACAAGCAUCGCGUGGCUCCAACACUUCUUUGGCAAUAAUCACCGCAGAACAAUUGGUUGAAAUCAUAGGAAAUCUAAAGGAAGAGUGGAAGAGAGAAGUAGAAGAGGAAAACAGACGGAGUAUGGAGAUAAUGAAAAAAGAGUUGAAGGAGGCGAUCAAAACUGAGUUAUCCCAAAUGGCCUCGCAACACUCACCCCCAUUAGACGCGCUUGACCCUGACGUAUUAGCUGCACAUGUAAGCACCAAAGGAAGUUGUGUUGAAGUUGUUGGAAAUGUUGUAACUAAGGAGCCUUCUGCGGUUGAUGUCACUACUAUGGGGUUGUACAUAGUUGGUGACAAGUGUACACGGCUAGUGGCCUUGGGAAAGGUGUUUGAUAAUGCUGCCACAAUGUACACAAUGUCCCGUCUUCAUCACUUACGCAGAUGAUGUGGUCAAGGUCAGUGUUGUGAUUGUUUACAACAGUGACGUGAUGGUCCCAUUUCCCAAGUAAGAGAUUCAGUAUGUCAAGGAGGCCAUUAACAUUUUCAUUGGAUGGCCGACACAUCUUUUGAAACCUAUCUCUGAUGAUUCAAACCAUAAUGUGCAGAAACCAGUGGGACGUGUUGAUGGGAGCAAUGUAGGUGCUGCAGAGGAUCCAUUGGGAGAUUUGAUGAAGAUAUUGUAUGACGUGUACCAAAAGCUAGAGGAACUCCCGUGGGAUGGGACGAAAUUUGGGCUUCCAAAUGUAGAAGCAAGAUUUUUCAUCACACAUGUUGAUGUAGCUAAGAUAAUAGCAGGUGACAAGUGUCUGAACAUAUCUAUACUGCAGUUGUGGAUGAUGUUUAUGGAUGACUGCUGUAGAAGCAAAGAUCAUGGUUCAGUGUAUGGUUUCCUUGAGCCUCAUUCGAUACACAAUGCUAAGGAUAGACGUCAACAAUGUUAACAUUACAUUGAAACAUGGGUCAAGGAGUCACAACGACAACUGUACUUAGGAGCUUACUUGAAUCAGGCACAUUGGCAACAACUUGUUCUAUGUCCAAGGGAAAACAUUGUUGUUUGGUUUUGUUCUUUGCGAAAAAAGCCUGAUAUUAACAUAAAAGCUGCAAUUAACAGGUUCUCCUCAAAUUUAUAAUUGAUUUACUGUAUAAUUGUUGUUCAGACUAUGACAAGGUUUGUCAUGAAAUAUAUGUUUUUUUUGUAAUUUUUGUGACAAGUCCAAUGAAGACAAUAACCAGUACUUUCGAAGGUAUGUCUGAUCAAGCUACACCUUGGUGGAUUGAACCAAAGAGUCAUGUUCAAACCGGAGGCUAUGAGUAUGGAUAUUAUAUCAUGCAUUGGAUGUGGUGCAUAGUUACUUGCGGUUUGAAGGAUGAUUGGAACAAGUGGUUUUCUGAUGGAACAGCGUUAGAAGUGGAAGCCAUCACUACACUUCGCAAGAAAUGGGCAACAUACUUUUUAGCUAUUAAAAAAAUUGGAUGUUAAAUAUGAUUUAGAUUAUGUAGGACGAAAUUUUUUCCUUCAUGACAUGCUUUAUUGUGAACAUUAUAAACAAUUUUGGUUAAUAAUUGACAAUUUUUAACAAUAACUUUCUUGGGCUCUGUCUACAUGUAUGUCUUGAUGUCUAUAUGAGGUUGUUAGUCAGAAGCACAAUUUGUUGGAAAUAGCAGUAAUGCUUCAAAAUUGAUCUUCACUUCCUUUGAGUACAAAGGUAUAAAUUACAGGGCUCAUAGUGCUUCAUUGACUGAUUUUUGUGGUGUUGGAGCUAGAAAUACAUCAAAUACAAAGGCUUUUCAGUCUGCAAUCAGUCAUCUGAGUCAGUUUGCUUCUAAAGGAAGGGUUCAACUGUAUGUUCCUACUGGGAAGUGGCUUACAGGGAGUUUUAGUCUAAUCAGUCACUUCACUUUGUAUGUAAACAA
Glycine soja is the source of this 2516-nucleotide long non-coding RNA. RefSeq lists it as uncharacterized. The transcript has 7 exons. Lineage: Eukaryota; Viridiplantae; Streptophyta; Magnoliopsida; Fabales; Fabaceae. The record is from RefSeq and is a predicted model, not a curated record.